AUUCAGCUGAUUAGUCCCAAAUAGGACGAAACGCGUCCUGGGU
Molecule: non-coding RNA, 43 nt
Filed under: Schistosoma haematobium
Lineage: Eukaryota; Metazoa; Platyhelminthes; Trematoda; Strigeidida; Schistosomatidae
Source: RNAcentral